This 762-nucleotide ribosomal RNA is filed under the name Plasmopara geranii. Its description in RNAcentral is "LSU rRNA". It matches the Rfam family "Eukaryotic large subunit ribosomal RNA", at positions 51 to 641 of the family's 3401-position model. The record is from RNAcentral. Lineage: Eukaryota; Oomycota; Peronosporomycetes; Peronosporales; Peronosporaceae.
CGGAGGCAUAAGAAACUAACAAGGAUUCCCCUAGUAACGGCGAGUGAAGCGGGAUGAGCUCAAGCUUAAAAUCUCCGUGCAAUUUUUGCAUGGCGAAUUGUAGUCUAUAGAGGCGUGGUCAGUAUGAGCACUUGGAGAAAGUUCCUUGGAAUAGGACAGCAUGGAGGGUGAUACUCCCGUUCAUCUCUUAGCUGCUUGUGCGUACGACCCGUUUUCUUUGAGUCGCGUUGUUUGAGAAUGCAGCGCAAAGUAGGUGGUAAAUUCCAUCUAAAGCUAAAUAUUGGUGCGAGACCGAUAGCAAACAAGUACCGUGAGGGAAAGAUGAAAAGAACUUUGAAAAUAGAGUUAAAGAGUACCUGAAACUGCUGAAAGGGAACCAAAUCGUUUCCAGUGUCUAUAAUCCGUUGUAUAUUUCAUUGGCGAGUGUAUGCGUGCGUGUGCUGUUGCAGUGGCCUUUUGGUUGCGCUCGGCGCGUGUGUUGUGUGUGCUUGUUGGUGCCCUGUGCUGCGGUGGGACGUCAAGGUCAGUUCGUAUGCUGCGGGAAAUGGCUACCGAGGAGGUAGGGCUCACGCUUGCGUUUGUCUGUUAUAUCUUGGUAGACGAGUAGUCGCGGUUGGGACUGAGGUGCCUACAACGUGCUUUUGAGUGGGCUUGGGUCUCCGUGUGCACCGUGUGCGGAUAGCUUGCUAUGCGUGUGUGGUUGUGUGUGGAUUGAUGCGAGCCGUAACUUGUAGUCGUUCGGGACGUUGACGAAAUGGAGCG